Molecule: transfer RNA, 73 nt
Filed under: Candidatus Omnitrophota bacterium
Lineage: Bacteria; Pseudomonadati; Candidatus Omnitrophota
Also listed under: 1 other name
Description: Candidatus Omnitrophica bacterium tRNA-Asp
Rfam family: tRNA
About the family: Transfer RNA (tRNA) molecules are approximately 80 nucleotides in length.
Source: RNAcentral
GGGGCCGUGGUGUAGCGGUUAACAUUCCUGACUGUCGAUCAGGAGAUCGCGAGUUCGAAUCUCGUCGGCCCCG